This 440-nucleotide ribosomal RNA is filed under the name uncultured bacterium. RNAcentral describes it as "partial 16S ribosomal RNA". It matches the Rfam family "Bacterial small subunit ribosomal RNA", at positions 338 to 795 of the family's 1533-position model. The record is from RNAcentral.
CCUACGGGGGGCAGCAGUGGGGAAUAUUGCACAAUGGGGGAAACCCUGAUGCAGCGACGCCGCGUGAGUGAAGAAGUAUUUCGGGAUGUAAAGCUCUAUCAGCAGGGAAGAAAAGGACGGUACCUGAGUAAGAAGCCCCGGCUAACUACGUGCCAGCAGCCGCGGUAAUACGUAGGGGGCAAGCGUUAUCCGGAUUUACUGGGUGUAAAGGGAGCGUAGACGGCAGCACAAGUCUGGAGUGAAAUGCCGGGGCUUAACCCCGGAACUGCUUUUGAAACUGUGCAGCUAGAGUGCAGGAGAGGUAAGUGGCAUUCCUCGUGUAGCGGUGAAAUGCGUAGAUAUUAGGAGGAACACCAGUGGCGAAGGCGGCUUACUGGACUGUACCUGACGUUGCGGCUCGAACGCGUGGGGAGCAAACAGGAUUAGAUACCCGGGUAGUC